This 497-nucleotide ribosomal RNA is filed under the name uncultured bacterium. RNAcentral describes it as "partial 16S ribosomal RNA". It matches the Rfam family "Bacterial small subunit ribosomal RNA", at positions 28 to 507 of the family's 1533-position model. The record is from RNAcentral.
GAUGAACGCUGGCGGCGUGCCUAAUACAUGCAAGUCGAGCGAACAGACGAGGAGCUUGCUCCUUCGACGUUAGCGGCGGACGGGUGAGUAACACGUAGGUAACCUACCUAUAAGACUGGGAUAACUUCGGGAAACCGGAGCUAAUACCGGAUAAUAUUUCGAACCGCAUGGUUCGAUAGUGAAAGAUGGCUUUGCUAUCACUUAUAGAUGGAUCUGCGCCGCAUUAGCUAGUUGGUAAGGUAACGGCUUACCAAGGCAACGAUACGUAGCCGACCUGAGAGGGUGAUCGGCCACACUGGAACUGAGACACGGUCCAGACUCCUACGGGAGGCAGCAGUAGGGAAUCUUCCGCAAUGGGCGAAAGCCUGACGGAGCAACGCCGCGUGAGUGAUGAAGGUCUUCGGAUCGUAAAACUCUGUUAUUAGGGAAGAACAAACGUGUAAGUAACUGUGCACGUCUUGACGGUACCUAAUCAGAAAGCCACGGCUAACUACGUG